UACAGAGGGUGCAAGCGUUAAUCGGAAUUACUGGGCGUAAAGCGUGCGUAGACGGUUGCGUAAGUCAGAUGUGAAAGCCCCGGGCUCAACCUGGGAAUUGCAUUUGAGACUGUGUAGCUAGGGUGCGGAAGAGGGAAGCGGAAUUUCCGGUGUAGCGGUGAAAUGCGUAGAUAUCGGAAGGAACACCAGUGGCGAAAGCGGCUUCCUGGUCCAGCACUGACGUUCAGGCACGAAAGCGUGGGGAGCAAACAGG
Molecule: ribosomal RNA, 253 nt
Filed under: uncultured bacterium
Lineage: Bacteria
Description: partial 16S ribosomal RNA
Rfam family: Bacterial small subunit ribosomal RNA
Source: RNAcentral